Molecule: ribosomal RNA, 428 nt
Filed under: uncultured Comamonadaceae bacterium
Lineage: Bacteria; Pseudomonadati; Pseudomonadota; Betaproteobacteria; Burkholderiales; Comamonadaceae
Description: bacterial SSU rRNA
Rfam family: Bacterial small subunit ribosomal RNA
Source: RNAcentral
UGGGGAAUUUUGGACAAUGGGCGCAAGCCUGAUCCAGCCAUUCCGCGUGCAGGAUGAAGGCCCUCGGGUUGUAAACUGCUUUUGUACGGAACGAAAAGGCUCUGGUUAAUACCUGGGGCUCAUGACGGUACCGUAAGAAUAAGCACCGGCUAACUACGUGCCAGCAGCCGCGGUAAUACGUAGGGUGCAAGCGUUAAUCGGAAUUACUGGGCGUAAAGCGUGCGCAGGCGGUUUUGUAAGACAGGUGUGAAAUCCCCGGGCUUAACCUGGGAACUGCAUUUGUGACUGCAAAGCUAGAGUGCGGCAGAGGGGGAUGGAAUUCCGCGUGUAGCAGUGAAAUGCGUUAGAUAUGCGGAGGAACACCGAUGGCGAAGGCAAUCCCCUGGGCCUGCACUGACGCUCAUGCACGAAAGCGUGGGGAGCAAACA